AAUUAGUCACCGGCUCCAACCACCACAUUCCUCAGGCUGCUGGCGCCGGGCCAGGCUCUGGGGCGGGGGCCAUCCCGCCCGGACGGGUUUGGGAGUUGGGCGGGGGGAAAGCGCCGCCUCCGGAGGGGAAGGGGCGGUCCCGAGGACUGGGCCGCCGCAGCGCACCCCCCUCCUCGCCCACCUCAGCAUAGGAAUCUCCCUAAUUUUGUCCCCCUCCCCACCCAUCCCGCUGGGAGGCGCAUUGCAAACUUCCAGGUUCCGCGGCCCGAGAGGAAGGUUUUCUGGAGCGGGGAACGCGGAGAGUAAACAUGGGAUACGAACGGAGCAGCCCCCGAGCCACCGCCCCAUGCAGGGAGAGGAGGUGGGACAGAGGCCACCAGGCCCGGAACGGGGCGCCCUGCCUUGCAGUGGAGCCAACAGUCCGCCCUCCGGAGAAAUAAAGAGUGGAGCAAAGCA
This 456-nucleotide long non-coding RNA is filed under the name Homo sapiens (human). RNAcentral describes it as "HSALNT0363062". Lineage: Eukaryota; Metazoa; Chordata; Mammalia; Primates; Hominidae. The record is from RNAcentral.